GAUGUGACAACUAGUAUAACAUUUCGUACCUAGAUGUGUGUCAUUUACGUAAGACACUCCGGAGGGUUUGCGUCGAGUCUUGUAUACAUCUUCCCGAUCUAGUUUGAGCUGCCUCUACCUCUCUGUGCUUUGUUUCAGAGGAGAGCGGAAUGCCCAAACGGUUGACAGUGAACUCGCUAACCAUAACAGUAUUGAAGCAUAUCCAUUUAUUUCACUAACGUUCAACUCCACGGUCUCUUUGUUUAACGUUAGUUUUAUUUUUGCUUUACCAUAACUUGGUUACCUCUAUUUGAUCACGAUAAUCGAAAUGUUUACCUAGCUAGCAAUACCACAAUGUACUGUAAGUAAUAACAAGCGACGCACAGUUAGCUCGCUAGCAAACUUGGCUAGUAAGCGAGCUAAUGUUAGCUCGCUAACUAGCUAAUGACAGCUAGCUAACUAACGUUAUGCAAGAUAAUGCUAAUUGCACGCCAUCGUUGUUGGCCCUAUACAGUAGCUAAAUAUUAGCUUGCAAACAUUAGCUAGUUAGUUGUAACGUUAUAAAUAAGAAGCUAGCUAGCAAUGUAAAUGUACUGGCUAGCUAAUACUUAACCCUGGCGUUAGCUAAUAUAAAAACAAUUCUCCUUCACACAGUUGCCAUAACCCACGACUAGUCGUUAACAAUUUGCUUGUAUUUUGUGAUCAAAUGAGCACCAGACAGUCCAGAACAGGGAAAUAUUGCAUUUUGUUGGCUUGCUAGUUCAUGGAAACGUUCUGUUGGAAUAUAAUUCUGAAUCAUUAUUCAUUCUGGAACCAGUUGGUGAGCAUUACGCUAUAAGGAUUCCAUUGUGUCCUUUAUGCACAAAAGAACAACAACAGCGUCUGCCAUUUCAAACUCAGCCAACAGCUACACUUUGCUGCAAGGGAGGAGGCCUUGACGCAUUUGUUGUGCGUAAAAUAUCUGCACAUAGAUCAGAUGGUAUUUAUGCGGGUAGUUUGACAUAUUUGACCAUAAACAACUUGUUGGGAUGCAGACCAUAGCCUAAGGGAGGGAUGUAACACAUACAAUUGGGUCAGAUAGUUAUUUAAGUAUUCUGCACAAAAUCAAAAGUAGGACUUGACAGCUAUCCAUCAAGCUAGACGUCGUCAUGCUACUCCCAGCUAACAAGGAAUGUUUCCAAGAGACCAUUCCCUUAAUGUGAAAUGUAAUUUUCACAGAACGUGGUUACCAUGUUCUCAGAACUCAGUACAUUAAUGUUCUAUACACGUUUCAUGGGAACGUUGCAAGAACAUUCAUGUGUCCAGUUCUGUGGGUUAGGAGCAUAUUCCAUCAACUCCCAAACAUGCACGGAACGUGGCGCCAUGUUCUCAGAACAUAAAAUAUUAAAGGUCCCGAAUAGUGGUAAUCAGGGUUUUCAUUAAAUUUGAUAUUUGGAUGAAACCAGUUCAAAGUAGGGUGGCCCAAGUAUUAAAAAUUACUGUAGCUGGUACAUUAAUAAAGUUUGAUCAUAAAGUUACUGGUCCCCUCCCCCCAUGUCAAAUACUUGAAUUCAGGAGGCAGGCAUUACCAAGGAUUUUCAUCGGGCUUCUACCAACGUCACAUAAAGCCAGAAAUGUUAUACACCAAUGGUAGUGUCUUGUCAUUUUAAAUAUGUAUCGCCUUAAAACCUUCAUCACAUGUGCGCCUACGCAUUACUUUAACUUUUUUUUUUACAAAACUGUAAACUAGCUCAAGCAGAACAUACUACCAAAGAUUCUGGUCACCUUUAAUCUGUAGUGUGACUGUUAGCUAGCAAGCUACUUACAUCAUGCCGGCAAAAGCACACUGUGUUUGUUGUGACUGGAUGCCAUAGUGUAAAAUGUACCUUUUCAUUUCGGGUGGACAGGCUGCACUGAAAAUUACGGUCAUGUGUGUGCAGUGCACAUUUCGAGUAAAGUUGCUUUAUCAAUUGAGGAGAACAUUCGAUGGGUCUUCCCAGGAUGCUAAUCCUGAAGACGGAUGCUGUACCAUCAUUGACAGUGGAUCUUGCAAGCGCUGACCAUAAUGUAAGUAUCAGAGUUUAAUAAGUCUCACACGGUAGCCAACAUUUUGGGGGAUCGCGGGGCUAGCGUUAGAUAAUGCAACUGUGUCUUCUUUGACUUGUGAACAAUAUAUUUUCUGUAACACCUGAUAAUCACUAUAUGGGUUUUGUUCUUCCAUCUCCAUGCCCCCUACAUUAAGUCAGAGAACUGCCAGCACACAGCUGGCACGAGGGAAUGUUGUUCACAAAAGGAGUUGUGGUGUAUAUAUUAUUUGUAAUUUACUCCUGAAAAUCAUAUUUUACCAUUCCGUUGUGUGGGUUAUUGUCUUACAGUUGAUGUAGCUUGUGUCAUUGGAGCUAAUCAUGAUUUUUUUGGGGGGGGAUUAUUUAACUUUCCAUCUCCUUUUGUCUUUCCACUAUCAUCAAGCUGGAAGGAUAGACAUUUUACUCUGUCUGCACAGCUUCCCAGGCAACCACCACAGCAGGAAUGCUGUGAUACAAAAUCAGCAAAGAAGGGGGGAUAUGCUGUGAAGACAGACCCAACAUACUGCUACGUAGACAGGCUCCUGGAUCUCCUCUUCAACGAGGUCACCCAUGAUCCAGCGCCGUAUGUGGGGAAGCUGUGUAAGCUGUCCAUCCCGGGACCCCUGUCUGCCCCGUGUGAAAGGCCUGACAAGGAGGUGGCCAUAGCUGGAUUUGUCUCCAGCUUCAAUCUUGGGGGUGACUGAAGCCUGCUUGAUUGAAGCGGGAUACAUGGGUCCCGCUCCCCUCCCCCAUCAAUCUCUGUAGUUGGUUGUAUUUCUUAAAGCCUAAGUAAUUCACUUUUACGUGAAAUAAUAUCACAUUUUGUUACUUUGUAUUGUUUUUUUUUCAAGCUUUAGGAUGGGAGUGUAGUGUUACGAAUUUUACAAAUCAAUGUCCUGCAGACUGUAGGUGCCUAUAUUAGGCUUAUGGCUCAAUUCCUCUUUUUUUAUGUCAAAUGAUAUCUCACCAUUUAUUUCUCACCUUUAUUUAUAAUGAGUGUUCAUGUUGAUCAGUAUUUCGGCAAUAAUGGUCUAUUGUAAAAUAUCCAAUAAAUGUCUGAUCAAUGCA
Molecule: long non-coding RNA, 3092 nt
Organism: Salvelinus namaycush (lake trout)
Lineage: Eukaryota; Metazoa; Chordata; Actinopteri; Salmoniformes; Salmonidae
Exons: 2
Source: RefSeq, a predicted model, not a curated record